AGAACGAACGCUGGCGGCACGCCUAACACAUGCAAGUCGAGCGCCCAGCAAUGGGAGCGGCGGACGGGUGAGUAACACGUGGGAACAUGCCUUUCGGCACGGAACAACUGCGGGAAACUGCAGCUAAUGCCGUAUACGCCCUUACGGGGAAAGAUUUAUCGCCAAUAGAUCAGCCCGCGUAGGAUUAGCUAGUUGGUGAGGUAAUGGCUCACCAAGGCUCCGAUCCUUAGCUGUUCUGAGAGGAAGAUCAGCCACACUGGGACUGAGACACGGCCCAGACUCCUACGGGAGGCAGCAGUUGGGAAUCUUGGACAAUGGGGGAAACCCUGAUCCAGCCAUGCCGCGUGAGUGAUGAAGGCCUUCGGGUGUAAACUCUUUCGCGCACGACGAUAAUGACGGUAGUGCGAGAAGAAGCUCCGGCUAACUUCGUGCCAGCAGCCGC
RNAcentral lists this ribosomal RNA (442 nucleotides) under uncultured bacterium. Its description in RNAcentral is "SSU rRNA". It matches the Rfam family "Bacterial small subunit ribosomal RNA", at positions 26 to 518 of the family's 1533-position model. The record is from RNAcentral.